This 515-nucleotide ribosomal RNA is filed under the name uncultured bacterium. RNAcentral describes it as "bacterial SSU rRNA". It matches the Rfam family "Bacterial small subunit ribosomal RNA", at positions 17 to 518 of the family's 1533-position model. The record is from RNAcentral.
UUCUGGCUCAGGAUGAACGCUGGCGGCGUGCCUAACACAUGCAAGUCGAACGGGGUACAGACGCUGUGCGAAGAAGUGCUUGCACGGAUUCAAACUUGUCUGUACUAGUGGCGGACGGGUGAGUAACGCGUGGAAAACCUGCCUCAUACAGGGGGAUAACAGGAAGAAAUUCCUGCUAAUACCGCAUAAGCGCACAAUGCCGCAUGGCAGAGUGUAGAAAAAGAUUUAUCGGUAUGAGAUGGUUCCGCGUCUGAUUAGCCAGUUGGCGGGGUAACGGCCCACCAAAGCCGACGAUCAGUAGCCGGCCUGAGAGGGCGGACGGCCACAUUGGGACUGAGACACGGCCCAGACUCCUACGGGAGGCAGCAGUGGGGGAUAUUGCACAAUGGGGGAAACCCUGAUGCAGCGACGCCGCGUGGGUGAAGAAGUUAUUCGUAAUGUAAAGCCCUAUCAGCAGGGAAGAUAAUGACGGUACCUGACUAAGAAGCCCCGGCUAACUACGUGCCAGCAGCCGC